GAAAUGCGAUAAGUAGUGUGAAUUGCAGAAUUCAGUGAAUCAUCGAAUCUUUGAACGCACAUUGCGCCCCUUGGUAUCCCGAGGGGCAUGCCUGUUCGAGCGUCAUUUCACCCCUCAAGCCUGGCUUGGUGUUGGGCGACGUCCUCUUUGGGGACGCGCCUCAAAACGCUCGGCGGCGUGGCACCGGCUUUAAGCGUAGCAGAAUCUUAUCUUUCGCUUUGAAAGUCGGGGCCACAUCUGCCGGAAGACCUACUCGCAAGGUUGACCUCGGAUCAGGUAGGGAUACCCGCUGAACUUAA
This 299-nucleotide unclassified non-coding RNA is filed under the name uncultured Dothideomycetes. RNAcentral describes it as "sequence contains ITS1". The stretch from base 1 to 105 matches the Rfam family "5.8S ribosomal RNA", at positions 50 to 154 of the family's 154-position model. The record is from RNAcentral. Lineage: Eukaryota; Fungi; Ascomycota; Dothideomycetes.